GAUCCUGGCUCAGGAUGAACGCUAGCUACAGGCUUAACACAUGCAAGUCGAGGGGCAGCGGGAAGUCAGCUUGCUGACUUUGCCGGCGACCUGCGCACGGGUGAGUAACACGUAUCCAACCUUCCCGUUACUCUGGAAUAGCCUUUCGAAAGAAAGAUUAAUACCGGAUAGUAUCGAGAGAUUGCAUGAUAACCCGAUUAAAGAUUCAUCGGUAACGGAUGGGGAUGCGUUCCAUUAGGCAGG
Molecule: ribosomal RNA, 243 nt
Filed under: uncultured bacterium
Lineage: Bacteria
Description: partial 16S ribosomal RNA
Rfam family: Bacterial small subunit ribosomal RNA
Source: RNAcentral